Non-coding RNA from Arachis ipaensis, 463 nucleotides. The record is from RefSeq and is a predicted model, not a curated record. NCBI's taxonomy places the organism in Eukaryota, Viridiplantae, Streptophyta, Magnoliopsida, Fabales, Fabaceae.
UGUGCUUUCAAUGAUGCCAGGCAUGAUAGUUCUAUUGGGGUUUUCAUUCUUACUGGCAAGGGGACCAAGGCAUUUUGUAGUGGUGGUGACCAAGCUUUGAGGAUAGCAGAUGGUUAUUUUGAUAAUGAAGAUAUUGGUAGCCUUAAUGUGUUGGACUUGCAGGUUUAUUGAUUGUUGGCAUUUUUUUAUGAGGCAAUUAUUAGUGUUAUUAUGCCAAUAUAUAAGAUUAGUAUGAUUCUUGAUCCCUAGUGUUGUUGAAUCUUACGAUGGGAUUGUAUUUCCUGAACCGUCUGAGGGUUUUCUGGCGUGUGUGCAGAAUCAUCCUGCUGUUGUUGUGCCUAGGCUUCCUGCUGGUUUGAAUUUGCCUAGCCCAGUCAGGAGAUGUCAAGAUUAACUUUCAAUGUGGAGCUUGAUGCUGCUAAUGCAACUUAGUUAUUUAUUAAUAUUUUAGAUUAUCCUAUCU